This 440-nucleotide ribosomal RNA is filed under the name uncultured bacterium. Its description in RNAcentral is "partial 16S ribosomal RNA". It matches the Rfam family "Bacterial small subunit ribosomal RNA", at positions 338 to 795 of the family's 1533-position model. The record is from RNAcentral.
CCUACGGGUGGCAGCAGUAGGGGAUAUUGCUCAAUGGGGGGAACCCUGAUGCAGCAACGCCGCGUGGGCGAUGGAGUGCUUCGGCUUGUAAAGCCCUAUCGUCAGAGAGGAUAAUGACGGUACCUAACUAAUAAGCCCCGGCUAAAUACGUGCCAGCAGCCGCGGUAAUACGUAUGGGGCAAGCGUUAUCCGGAUUUACUGGGGGUAAAGGGCGCGUAGGCGGCCUUGCAAGUCUGAUGUGAAAUACCGGGGCUCAACCCAGGGGCUGCAUUUGAAACUGCCAGGCUGGAGUGCCGGAGAGGUAGGUGGAAUUCUUGGUGUAGCGGUGAAAUGCGUAGAUAUUAGGAGGAAUACUCGUGGCGAAGGCGGCCUGCUGGAAGGUGACUGACGCUGAGGCUCGAAAGCGUGGGGAGCAAACAGGAUUAGAUACCCUGGUAGUC